RNAcentral lists this long non-coding RNA (816 nucleotides) under Heterocephalus glaber (naked mole-rat). Its description in RNAcentral is "lncRNA (ENSHGLG00100036879.1)". The record is from RNAcentral. Lineage: Eukaryota; Metazoa; Chordata; Mammalia; Rodentia; Bathyergidae.
AAAUGGUUGGGUGAUAUUGAACUAAAAAUUAGCUUCUCUGAGUCUUCUUAUUAAUUCCUCAGAAUUUAAAAUGACAUUAUCCACUGUGUAGGUAUGUCUUGAUGAUUACAUCAAAUAGAUGUAUGUAGAAACUAACUUUUAAACUUUUAAGCAUAAUGUACAUUCAUUAUGGUUUACCAGUACUCUGGGAAGCUGAAGCAAAAGGAUCGUAAGGCAGAGCAAUUUAACCCUUUAGCGGCUGGGUGCGUACUAUAGCUCAGGGAAGACUCUAUAUUCAAUCCUUAGUACCACAAAAAAAUAAGGUGAAAUAAAAUAGAAGCUAUCAGAAUUAGAUUAAGAAUAUUUUUUUAAUUACUGGCCAUCGAACUCUGGACCUUGUGCUUGGGAGGCAGGUGACAGAACCACUGAGCAAAAUCCCCGCCCUUAGACUAAAGCAUUUGGCUAGACUGCCUUUUAUUAAUUUUCAUCACUUCCAUUCAGAUUCAAACUAAUCCAGUUAUCUCUCUCUCACUGAGCUCUGCCCCCACCCUCAUACUACCAAGGACCUUAUAGAUCACUGCCAUUCUUCACUCCAUAGGGAUAGACAUUACCAAAAGGAAAGUGGUAAUUUUACUCUCCAAGUCGAGCUUCCUCUCUGGGAAGUGUAACGAAGAACUGGGUUCCUUGCGCAUCCAGCCGCAGAGGUACUGCAAAGUCGGUUUCAUUAAGUCGCUGAACUGGACAAACUGGUGAUCCUCCUGCUUCAGUCUCCCAGGGUGCUGGGAUCACAAUUCUCAGCACUGAACAGGAGAUUCUGGACGUUGUUCUUUAGACCCC